UAAAUACUCAGUUUCGUCAAGUACUAUAAUCAGUGGUACAGAAAGGGUAGGUGGGGAAAUGCGGAAAUCUCAGCUUUUUUCUUCUUACCAUGUUAUGAAAGAUGUUGACAAACAUUUGGGAAAAAGUGAGAGAUGGCAGGAGCGGAUUAGGAGCUGGUGGCAGCAGAAAGACUCGGAAAACUGUCAGCCUCUCUGUCCUCACAUCUGUGCUUAUGUAUAGAGGGAAGCGAUGCCUCUCUUCUGGUUUGGGGGUUUUUUAAAAACAUUUUCUGCACUAUUCAAAUAGAGGCUGAGAGGAGCAUACCUGUUUUUUUUUUUUUAAGUGAAUGGGGAUAACAUCAUCUUUGCCCUUCUGGUGACUAAAAUGACAGGGUUGGCAGCAAGUUUCUUUUCCCAAUAAGAGCCUUCAGGUUUGUCUGCGACAAGACUCUCCACAGAGGUUAUUUUUACCUGGCAUGGCUGUGCUGUUACUGAUACUGCUCUUCUCAAUGGCUGAAAUAACUUCUCCUGUGGGUGUCUCCGGCAGAAUGAAAGCUGGGUCAAGGUGGAGAGGUGAAAAGAACCGACCAGACUCUCCGGUGUCUCCUCCAGGUUGGAAUAUCCAGAGAAAUUAUACUGGAAAAGAGUGCAGUUCAGUGAAUACCCUAACAGACUGUUCGCAAAAUGUGUAAGGGAAGUUGCCUAUGUAAGUGGGCCAGAGGGAUUUAACACAUGGAUCUAAUUUGAAUUGUUCUCGUAUUUUCUUCUUCUUACAUGAGAAAUUUAUGUUUCUAUAUGACUAAAGAUUAGCAGAUUGUCUACAGCUUGCCAAAGUUUGAACAGAAGAAGAAGAAAAAAAGAUAGUAUCACUCUGAAUUGAAUUUGGCAGCUCAAGUCUCUGAGCCAUUGGUUUAAGAUUGUUCAUUCAGAUGAGACCAGCAUAAACCAGGAUUCGCUGAUUCUCUGUCCCUAUUCAUACAGCCCCACAGGCUUCAGCUCUCACAUCUGUGAAUGCUAUUCUGGAAUUUUACUUGGCACUUUCAGCUACUUAUGCACAAUUAAUGCUUCCUGCAAAGUUGUGCAUGCCUUAAACACUUAUCAACCAAAGGAGAUUUAAAAUAUACAAAACAGCAG
This 1113-nucleotide long non-coding RNA is filed under the name Rattus norvegicus (Norway rat). Its description in RNAcentral is "long non-coding RNA NONRATT031736". Lineage: Eukaryota; Metazoa; Chordata; Mammalia; Rodentia; Muridae. The record is from RNAcentral.